UACGAGGGCUCCAAGCGUUAUCCGGAAUCAUUGGGUUUAAAGGGUCCGUAGGCGGGACAGUAAGUCAGUGGUGAAAGUCUGCAGCUCAACUGUAGAACUGCCAUUGAUACUGUAGACCUUGAAUUAUUAUGAAGUGGUUAGAAUAUGUAGUGUAGCGGUGAAAUGCAUAGAUAUUACAUAGAAUACCGAUUGCGAAGGCAGAUCACUAAUAAUGUACUGACGCUGAGGGACGAAAGCGUAGGUAGCGAACAGG
This 253-nucleotide unclassified non-coding RNA is filed under the name uncultured Flavobacteriaceae bacterium. RNAcentral's name for it is "contains 16S-23S intergenic spacer region". It matches the Rfam family "Bacterial small subunit ribosomal RNA", at positions 524 to 776 of the family's 1533-position model. Lineage: Bacteria; Pseudomonadati; Bacteroidota; Flavobacteriia; Flavobacteriales; Flavobacteriaceae. The record is from RNAcentral.